This 2565-nucleotide ribosomal RNA is filed under the name fermentation metagenome. RNAcentral's name for it is "bacterial LSU rRNA". It matches the Rfam family "Bacterial large subunit ribosomal RNA", at positions 14 to 2621 of the family's 2925-position model. The record is from RNAcentral.
AGUGCAAAUGGUGAAUGCCUAGGAGCCGGGAGGCGAAGAAGGACGUGGUAAGCUGCGAAAAGCUGCGGGUAACUGCAAACAAGUACCGAUCCGCAGAUGUCCGAAUGGAGCAAUCCGGCAGUAGUAAUGUGCUGUCAUUUCUGGAUGAAUGAAUAGUCCAGAGAAGCGAAACGGGGUGAAGUGAAACAUCUCAGUAACCCCAGGAAAAGAAAAUGACAAUGAUUCCGUAAGUAGUGGCGAGCGAAAGCGGAAGAGCCCAAACCGGGAGGAUUUAUUCUCCCGGGGUAGAGGGACCACCAAUAAGUUAGAUGAAAGGCGAGCUGAACGUUUUGGAAAGAACGGCCACAGGGUGUGAAAGCCACGUAAGCGAAGUGUGUAAGUCCAGAGGUGGAAUCCCAAGUAAUGCGGUGUAAGUGGAACUCUGCAUGAAUCCGUCCCGACCAUGGGAUAAGGCUAAAUACUACCCGGCUACCGAUAGUGAACAAGUACCGUGAGGGAAAGGUGAAAAGAACCCCUUUUAGGGGAGUGAAAAGAAUCUGCAACCAUUUGCAUACAAAGUGUGGGAGCGCCAAAAAGGGCGUGACCGCCUGCCUUUUGCAUAAUGAGUCUGCGAGUUAUUAUCAGUAGCAAGCUUAAGGGAUGAGAAUUCCGGAGGCGAAGCGAAAGCGAGUGUGAAUAGCGCGUUAAGUUGCUGGUAAUAGACCCGAAGCGGAGGUGAUCUACAUUUGAGCAGGUUGAAGCUGUGGUAACACACAGUGGAGGACCGAACUGGUGAACGUUGAAAAGUUCUGAGAUGACUUGAGUGUAGGAGCGAAAGACUAAUCAAACCCCGUGAUAGCUGGUUCUCUCCGAAAUCGCUUGAGGGCGAGUGUUGAAUAAGUACUCCAUGGAGGUAGAGCACUGGAUGGCUUAGGGGCCUUACCGGGCUGCCAAAACCAAUCAAACUCCGAAUACCAUGGAUCCCAUUAGUUCAGCAGUUAGGCAGUGGGGGAUAAGCUUCAUUGCCGAGAGGAAAACAGUCCAGACCGUCAGCUAAGGUGCCCAAACAAGGUUAAGUGGAAAGGAUGUGACGUCGCGAAGACAGUGAGGAUGUUGGCUUAGAGGCAGCCAUCAUUUAAACAGUGCGUAACAGCUGACUCAUCGAGCGAUGCCGCGCCGAAAAUGAUUGGCGAUUAAACCUUGUACCGAAGCUACGGAUUCUCAAAGACUAAGGUCUUUGGGAGUGGUAGGAGAGCGUAGUUGCAGCAUAGAAGCCGAGGGGAAACCUGAGGUGGAGCGGCAACUAGUGAGAAUGCAGACACGAGUAGCGAAAAAUCAGAUGAGAAUUCUGAUCGCCGUAAACCUAAGGUUUCCUGGGGCAGGUUCGUCCUCCCAGGCUUAGCCGGGAGCUAAGGCCAGGCCGUAAGGCGUAGCCGAUGCACAGAAGGUCAAUAAUCCUUCGCCGGGCUGGGGUUAGGUUAAGAUGACGCAAGAACGGGAAAACGGGUUAAGUGAACGGAUUCACAGUGCGGUGUAAAAACCGUGCGAUCCCGCAGACCCCUUGCCGAGAAAAGUCUUAACUGUGCUCCCCAGUUCGCCCGUACCGUAAACCGACACAGGUGGGUGAGAUGAGUAUUCUAAGGCGCGCGAGAGAAACCUCUCUAAGGAACUAGGCAAAAUAGCCCCGUAACUUCGGGAGAAGGGGUGCCCUCCGCAAGGAGGGCGACAGUAAAUGGAGCUUUGCGACUGUUUAACAAAAGCACAGCGCUCUGCUAAGUUGAUAAAACAACGUAUAGGGCGUGACACGUGACCAAUGCGAAAAGAUGAAGGCAACUUGUUAGGUGGUUUAGUAAUAGACCGCCGAAGCUCGGACCCCAAGUCCUCGUGAAUGUCGGCCGUAACUAUAACGGUCCUAAGGUAGCGAAAUUCCUUGUCGGGUAAGUUCCGACCUGCACGAAUCGUGUAACGACAAAGCUGCUGUCUCGGAGAGGAUCUCGGCGAAACUGUAGUGGCGGUGAAGAUGCCGCCUGCCCGCAGAAGGACGGAAAGACCCUAUGCACCUUUACUGUAAGCUCGUAUUGUGUUCUUUUUAAUGAUGCGUAGUGUAGGUGGGAGACAUGGAAGUGAGAGUUUCGGCGCUCAUGGAGUCAAAAGAUGAAACACCACUCUUGAUUAAAAAGAAUUCUAACCUGGCACUGUGAAGCCAGUCCAGGGACAUUGCGAGCGGGUCAGUUUGACUGGGGCGGUUUCCUCCCAAAGAGUAACGGAGGAGCGCUAAGGUACACUCACCAUGGUUGGCAACCAUGAUUUAGAGCGUAUGGGUAUAAGUGUGCUUAACUGCGAGACAAACAAGUCGAGCAGAUGCGAAAGCAGGCCCAAAUGAUCCGAUAGUAGAAAAUGGAAUUGCUAUCGCUCAUCGGACAAAAGGUACGCUAGGGAUAACAGGCUGAUCGAGUCCAAGAGUUCAUAUCGACGACUCGGUUUGGCACCUCGAUGUCGGCUCGUCACAACCUGGGGCUGAAGAAGGUCCCAAGGGUUCGGCUGUUCGCCGAUUAAAGUGGCACGCGAGCUGGGUUCAGAACGUCG